UAUAUGACGUUGCAUAUAGAGUAAAUUUGGAUCAGAAUAAUUGCAUUUGCUAGAAAGGUUGCAGUUCCAACAUGAAUGGCACUUCUCCUUCUGCCUUUAACCUCCUAUACUUCCAAUCCCCAUGGCCACCUAUAUGCCCGACCCAGUGUCCUAGGGUUCACGCCAUUGAUCCUCCCACCCCUCUAGGACCAAGCUUGCACCACAAGAGCUCAAAAGUUGGGUUAAGAUGUGAUUAUGUGAGCGCUGGAGCAAUAAUUCUCUAAAUUCUAAUUGUAACUCCCUAGGAAUGACUAUCCAUCUGUUAAAGAGAAUAUGUAAAUUAUCCAUCUUUUCUUAGACUUCUGAGGUUAACUUAUCUAAACUAGCUCUCAAAUUCGAAUUCUAUAUGGUGCAAUUAAAUAUCCCCUCCGCCAAAGAAAUGCAAAUUCAUAUCCUUGUUUCGGGAUUUUGACCAGCAAUGAGUCAAUUACGAGUAUGUUUAGUAGGCACAAAAUGUAUAUUUCCAAAUUAUUUUAAACUAUAUUGGCCUUUUUAAAAAAUAUUAUAUUUUGCGUCAAGUAUUAUCAAAUUUUUGAGCUCCAUAGACAUGCCCAUGACCCACCCAUAUCAUAUAUGCCUGUGUUUAUAGGCAUGGACAUGAAACGCCACGAAUAUAGGAGUAUAGGAGUGGGAGGCACUGGGAUCACUCGAGAUGCAUGAGGGGUUUCAUCCUGAAUCUAUAUCGCCCAUGAUGUCUCCAUGUUUUAUUGAAAUAUUUUCCACCGUUUCCGUGAGACCUCGGAGGCACAUAUGACUUAGAUGGAG
This 804-nucleotide long non-coding RNA is filed under the name Setaria viridis. RNAcentral's name for it is "long non-coding RNA (SVIR_LNC001218)". Lineage: Eukaryota; Viridiplantae; Streptophyta; Magnoliopsida; Poales; Poaceae. The record is from RNAcentral.